Molecule: ribosomal RNA, 468 nt
Filed under: uncultured bacterium
Lineage: Bacteria
Description: partial 16S ribosomal RNA
Rfam family: Bacterial small subunit ribosomal RNA
Source: RNAcentral
GACGAACGCUGGCGGCGUGCUUAACACAUGCAAGUCGAACGGAAAUUCUCUGCGUAUUUUUGGUGCUGGAGUGGCGAGCGGGUGGUGAACACGUUGGUAACCUGCCCUUGACUUUGUGAUGACUUGGGGAAUCUUGGGCUAAGAGCGGAUAGGAGCUCCUGCGGCAUGUUGGGGGUUUGACAUUUUUGGCUGUUGGGUAUGGACACGCUGCUCCUCAGCCUGUUGGUGGGGUAGUGGAUUUCCAAGGCUUCGACGGGUAGCCGGCCUGGCAGGGUGACCGGCCACAGUGGGACAGAGAUAGGGCCCAGACUGAUACGGGAGGCAGGAGUGGGGAAUAUUGCACAAUAGGCGGAGGCCUGAUGGAGGAACGCCGCGUGCGGGAUGACGGCCUUCGGGUUGUAAAGCGCUUUCGGCUGUGACGGAGCGUGAGUGACGGUAAUAAGUAAAGAAGCCACGGCUAACUACGUG